GCGUGGGUACCAUGCCCAUGUCACACGGAUAACAUACCGAAAGGUAUACUGCNUCCANNCUUUUAGGACUUUAUUGGAGAGACGGCUGCGGGUAGUUACGCGUGGGUACCAUGCCAUGUCACACGGAUACAUCCGAAAGGUAUCUAUCGGGAUAACAUCUGAAAGUCGCAUGGCUUUUGUAUCAAAGCUCCGGCGGUCAGGAUGGACCCGCGUCUGAUUAGCUAGUUGGUAAGGUAAUGGCUUACCAAGGCAACGGAUCAGUAGCCGACCUGAGAGGGUGAUCGGCCACACUGGAACUGAGACACGGUCCAGACUCCUACGGGAGGCAGCAGUGGGGAAUAUUGCACAAUGGGCGAAAGCCCUGAUGCAGCAACGCCGCGGUGAGCGAUGAAGGCCUUCGGGUCGUAAGCUCUGUCCUCAAGGAAGAUAAUGACGGUCNUUGAGGAGGAAGCCCCGGCUACUCCGUGCCAGCAGCCGCGGUAAUCGAGGGGGCUAGCGUUAUCGGAAUACUGGCGUAAGGGGCGUAGGUGGUUUUUAAG
RNAcentral lists this ribosomal RNA (539 nucleotides) under Clostridium sp. MT 130. RNAcentral describes it as "bacterial SSU rRNA". It matches the Rfam family "Bacterial small subunit ribosomal RNA", at positions 42 to 586 of the family's 1533-position model. Lineage: Bacteria; Bacillati; Bacillota; Clostridia; Eubacteriales; Clostridiaceae. The record is from RNAcentral.